This is an RNA transcript of Paramormyrops kingsleyae, 2245 nucleotides long. It is a transcript of the gene named FA complementation group E, with no coding region annotated. NCBI's taxonomy places the organism in Eukaryota, Metazoa, Chordata, Actinopteri, Osteoglossiformes, Mormyridae. The record is from RefSeq and is a predicted model, not a curated record.
UCCGGUCUCCUGCUAGACGUUUCAUUUUCAAUAAUUUCGCGGGAAUAUCCAGUCAGUGCUUUAUGUCAAAAUGUAGCUUUUAAUCUGUCACUGGCUAAAUUUGUAUCUGAUUUUUAGCUGGCAUUGGUCGUUGUGUUGCCAUGGAUGUGGAGCGCUUGUUGUGGCGCUUCGACGGGCGCACUCGCUUGCUCUUCCAGUCGCUGCUCUCCGGUGUGCGAGGAAUCAGCAGAGCCGUGCGGCUGUUUCACCGCCAGCGGCGCUCCGACCCGGACAUCUCGUUGCGUGCUUGUCUGGACACCUUGUGCAUGGAGGAACCACACAUCGUCGGGGACAAGCUGAAUUUAUCGUUAACCCCAUUGGUCUGUCUGUUCCCUGUUGCCUUCAAGUGUGGUCUGUUGUCCUUCCUCCAUCUGAUCUACCCCCUGGUCCCUGGGCCCUGCUUGAUUCGGCUCCUGGACUGCCUUAAGCAGGACCCUGCCCAGGAUCCCUGGAUCCAUGUCUUGCUUGGUCAGCUCUGUCGGGAUCUGGCCCUGGAUGAUCCCUUGGGAGGUGAGCUGUACUCUGCAUAUUGUAGGAACAAACUUGAGCAGUUCUGUCAGAGGCUGGGCAAUGCUGACCACAGUGCAUUGAGUCUGGGGAGUGCUUUUGGUGACCUGCCCCCCACAAGACCUCCCCAGGAGCCUGUGGGAGAGCCAGAUCUUCAGCUGCAUGGAAAGAGAAGAAAUGAGGCUUCUGAGGUGGCAGGGAGCCAGAGUAAAAAAAUGCGACUGGACCUCCCUGCCACCCAAGAGGAUGAUGGGAACAAGGAAGCACUGCCAUCGCAGGCCCAAGACAUCGUGCAGGAGACAGCAGCCUGGACUGCAGGGGAUGUUUGCAUGGUGGACUUCCGGGAGCCUCAGCAGUCAUUUCCUGAUGGUACCAGUUUGGUGCUGCCUGAGCACAUUAGGGCUUCUGUUACUGGAAUCAAAGAACUUUUAGAGACUACAGGAGAGUGGGUCAAAGACACUGACUCAGUUCUUCAAGUGCUGAACGAGUGUGAACCACCCCAGGUGGAGCUGCUGUGCGCAGAGCUGCAGCUGUCAGAGAUUCCGGAGCAGAUCCUGCCGCCUCUUUGCAGUGGCCUGCUGUCUCUGUGCCCUGACCUUAGCCAGUGCACGGCCACUGUGCUCACUAGGAGCCUCUUUUUCAAAAAAGUUCUCUCACUCCGGGAUCCGGCCUCUCGCUCCCUGCUCUCCGCAGUGACCUCAUUUGGCCGCCGCUACCCCAGGCCGGCCUGCUCUGCGCUGAUCAGCCCCAUUUUACAGUCAGGCCAGAUGAUCACAGGCAGGCUGGAGCUUAUCCCAGCUGACAUGGGACACAAGGCAGGGGAAUUCCCAGGACUGGCUGCCGUCAAGGGCGUACACACAAAUAAGCACCAGGCACAGGCAACUGAGAGCUACCAGCAGACCCAGCAUGUCUCUGCCAGAGGAGAGUUGUGCGAAAUGGGGGAGCACAUGCAAACACCAUAAACAUGGGGGAGGGGAGGGGUUUGUGCUGAUAGGCUACAGAACCACACUCAGUCAACGUGCUGCCUUGACCUUUAUACAGGGCUCAUUUUAAGUAUUUUCUUUAGUUUUUAGUGUAACAAAGUAAGCAUUAAUCGCUUAUCUGCCUGUAGUGGAUCUCAGCACAACUGUUACCCCACUCCCAGUGAAACAAGGGCAUAUGUGUAAGAAUGUAGUGAUCAACAAUAGUUACUGUUUCAUAUAUCUUAAUAGCACACAUUUGAGCUGUAAUGUAGAUUGAAGUACAGGUAGUUCUCAAUUCACGAGGAUUAACGUGAGUCAGUUGUAUGUAAGUUGAGAGCUACCUGUAAUUUAAAAUAAGUUAAUUCAUCCUGUGUAUUUCUGCUAUGUUUAUAGCAACUGCCUGCAUUUCUGUAUAAAAGUAUGCAUUUGCUGGGAUCUGGUCUUUGGGAUAGCUAAGGUACUUGGAAUAGUAAUGAGUAUGUUAGCUGUAACUCAUAAGAACAUAGGUACAGAUAGGAUAAGACACUUCUCAAGCUGGCAUCUUUGACAGUCUGGACCACUCAAAGGUGUGAAUUUCUGUUGUUUUGUGAGAAGACAGGGUCCAAGCUGAACUGCUGUGUCGACUGAUUGGGGACUGCCUUGAGCCCCAGUAUCAGCUGCUGAUAUUUGGGGAGACGCUUGUGCUGAGCUGGGGUGAGGAGGUCUUGUCAGUGGUGCACACCCUGCUGGAUUCCAAG